This is a long non-coding RNA of Passer domesticus (house sparrow), 587 nucleotides long. RefSeq lists it as uncharacterized. NCBI's taxonomy places the organism in Eukaryota, Metazoa, Chordata, Aves, Passeriformes, Passeridae. The record is from RefSeq and is a predicted model, not a curated record. The transcript has 5 exons.
GCAGUCAGCAGAGGGUGCUCCUGCAGCGAGGGAGUGCUGCCAUGCGUGCCCGAUAGGAAGUUUUGGUUUAUAAGUUAUUAACCACAGCCCUCUGACACACUAGCAGACUCACAUCUGUGGACAUUUUAUAUAAAAGACAAGUAAUGGGAGAAGUAAAGCCACUGGCCAGCUCUCAGUGCUCACAGAACAGCAGCCUCCACAUGCACUGAAAUUGAGAGAUAGCCAAGCCCUGGUACUGAAGGCCAGUUGACUGACAGACAACAUGAUCCACUGGAUUCAUUAGUCUGUGGGCACAGGAGGCUCAAGAUGACUGCAGAGCUACUGACCAGUGGAUUGACCUUGGGAUCUCUGCAUAACCUGUAGCUUGCUCCGGGGCUCAACUGUGGAACAAACCAAACCAUCUUCUGCAAAAAUCAGCUACAAUACAGAGGAAAAUCAAACAACUAUCCUGAAGAGUGGAAGACAUUUCCCAGAGAUCCACAUUUAAGCAGCAGUUGCAGAUGAGAUGAACUCCCCCCCUCAAAAAAGUACCAACUAAACAAAAAGCCCGGUUCACAGAGAAGUCCUCCUUGGAGCAGAAAAUUAAA